RNAcentral lists this ribosomal RNA (374 nucleotides) under uncultured eukaryote. Its description in RNAcentral is "partial 18S ribosomal RNA". It matches the Rfam family "Eukaryotic small subunit ribosomal RNA", at positions 592 to 976 of the family's 1831-position model. The record is from RNAcentral.
CAAGAGCGUAUGUAAAAGUUGUUGCAGUUAAAAAGCUCGUAGUUGAACCUUGGGUUUGGUUGGCCGGUCCGCUUUUUUGCGAGUACUGGAUUCAACCGAGCCUUUCCUUCUGGCUAACCAGUCGUUUCGGCGGCUGGCGAACCAGGAUUUUUACUUUGCGAAAAUUAGAGUGUUCAAAGCAGGCAUUAGCUUGAAUAUAUUAGCAUGGAAUAAUAGAAUAGGACGUUAUGGUUCUAUUUUGUUGGUUUCUAGGACCAUCGUAAUGAUUAAUAGGGACGGUCGGGGGCAUCAGUAUUCAGUUGUCAGAGGUGAAAUUCUUGGAUUUACUGAAGACUAACUACUGCGAAAGCAUUUGCCAAGGACGUUUUCAUUAA